This 256-nucleotide ribosomal RNA is filed under the name uncultured bacterium. RNAcentral's name for it is "partial 16S ribosomal RNA". It matches the Rfam family "Bacterial small subunit ribosomal RNA", at positions 524 to 776 of the family's 1533-position model. The record is from RNAcentral.
UACGUAGGUGGCGAGCGUUGUCCGGAUUUACUGGGCGUAAAGGGCGUGCAGGCGGUUUGUUAAGUGCAGGGUGAAAGCUCCCGGCUCAACUGGGAGAGGUCCUUGCAUACUGGCGAACUCGAGGGAGGCAGAGGAAAGUGGAAUUCCCGGUGUAGUGGUGAUAUGCGUAGAUAUCGGGAGGAACACCUGUGGCGAAGGCGGCGUUUCUUGGGCCUUACCUGACGCUGAGACGCGGAAAGCGUGGGGAGCGAACAGG